UACGUAGGGGGCAAGCGUUGUCCGGAAUCAUUGGGCGUAAAGCGCGUGUAGGCGGCUCGAUAAGUCUGCUGUGAAAGUCCAGGGCUCAACCCUGGAAUGCCGGUGGAAACUGUCGGGCUAGAGUCCGGAAGAGGCGAGUGGAAUUCCUGGUGUAGCGGUGAAAUGCGCAGAUAUCAGGAAGAACACCCGUGGCUAAGGCGGCUCUCUAGUACGGUACUGACGCUGAGACGCGAAAGCGUGGGGAGCGAACAGG
RNAcentral lists this ribosomal RNA (253 nucleotides) under uncultured bacterium. Its description in RNAcentral is "partial 16S ribosomal RNA". It matches the Rfam family "Bacterial small subunit ribosomal RNA", at positions 524 to 776 of the family's 1533-position model. The record is from RNAcentral.